ACGCUGGCGGCGUGCCUAACACAUGCAAGUCGAACGAAGCAGCAAUGCUUAGUGGCAGACGGGUGAGUAACGCGUAGAUAAUGUGCCCUCUUGCGGGGAUACCGUUUCGAAAGGAACGUUAAUACCGCAUAAAGUCCUUAGGAGGCAUCUCCCUAGGACCAAACUUCCGGGGCGGGAGGAGCAAUCUGCGUACUAUCAGCUAGUUGGUGAGGUAAUGGCUCACCAAGGCUACGACGGUUAACUGGUCUGAGAGGAUGAUCAGUCACACUGGAACUGAGACACGGUCCAGACUCCUACGGGAGGCAGCAGUGAGGAAUAUUGCGCAAUGGGCGAAAGCCUGACGCAGCGACGCCGCGUGGAGGAUGACGGAUUUCGGUCUGUAAACUCCUGUCAGUAGGGAAGAGAAUGGACGGUACCUACUGAGGAAGCUUCGGCUAACUACGUGCCAGCAGCCGCGGUAAGACGUAGGAAGCAAGCGUUGUCCGGAAUUACUGGG
This 496-nucleotide ribosomal RNA is filed under the name uncultured bacterium. RNAcentral's name for it is "bacterial SSU rRNA". It matches the Rfam family "Bacterial small subunit ribosomal RNA", at positions 33 to 558 of the family's 1533-position model. The record is from RNAcentral.